Molecule: ribosomal RNA, 468 nt
Filed under: uncultured bacterium
Lineage: Bacteria
Description: partial 16S ribosomal RNA
Rfam family: Bacterial small subunit ribosomal RNA
Source: RNAcentral
GACGAACGCUGGCGGCGUGCUUAACACAUGCCAGUCGAACGGAAAGGCCCUGCUUUUGUGGGGUGCUCGAGUGGCGAACGGGUGAGUAACACGUGAGUAACAUGCCCUUGACUUUGGGAUAACUUCAGGAAACUGGGGCUAAUACCGGAUAGGAGCUCCUGCUGCAUGGUGGGGGUUGGAAAGUUUCGGCGGUUGGGGAUGGACUCGCGGCUUAUCCGCUUGUUGGUGGGGUAGUGGCUUACCAAGGCUUUGACGGGUAGGCGGCCUGAGAGGGUGAGCGGCCACAUUGGGACUGAGGUACGGCCCAGACUCCUACGGGAGGCAGCUGUGGGAAAUCUUGCACGAUGGGCGGAAGCCUGAUGCAGCAACUCCGCGUGCGGGAUGACGGCCUUCGGGUUGUAAACCGCUUUCGCCUGUGACGAAGCGUGAGUGACGGUAAUGGGUAAAGAAGCACCGGCUAACUACGUG